UACGUAGGUGGCAAGCGUUGUCCGGAUUUACUGGGCGUAAAGAGCGCGCAGGCGGUCGUUCAAGUCGGGUGUGAAAGCCCCCGGCUCAACUGGGGAGGGUCACGCGAUACUGAUCGACUCGAAGGCAGGAGAGGGUAGUGGAAUUCCCGGUGUAGUGGUGAAAUGCGUAGAGAUGUGGAGGAACACCAAUGGCGAAGGCAGCCUUCUGGGCCAACACUGACGCUCAUGCACGAAAGCGUGGGGAGCAAACAGG
Molecule: ribosomal RNA, 253 nt
Filed under: uncultured bacterium
Lineage: Bacteria
Description: partial 16S ribosomal RNA
Rfam family: Bacterial small subunit ribosomal RNA
Source: RNAcentral